GAGAAGAGUUUGUGGUGGAAGGUUCAGGAUAUUGAACCCUCUGAUACCAUGUAAGACAGUAAGUUUCCCUUGAAGGUUUACGUAUAUUCAUGUGUCAAUAUAUAGUACAAGAGGUUGAGUGAUAUAAGGGAUCGACUCAUAACUAUACAGAAUAUACUGAGGAAUAAUAUCUUAACAAUACUAUCGAUAUCUAUCCUCUAAUAUGUAACUCACAACUUUUCGGAUUACUAAAAGAGAAGACAAAUCGACGCGAUUGCAAGGCAACAAAGAGAUUCUUCAUGACGAUUUGAGUCAAGAUUCUUCAUGACGAUUUGAGUCAGACAAUCUCUAGAAACACCAUUAAAGGUGACAGAAAACGCAGACGAUCGUGGCGAAGUUCGAAGAAAAGAGGAAACCCUAAUUUCAGCUUACGCAUACUAAAGGGGAUAUGCUAUUGGGCUUUCGAAUUAUUCAAGCCCAUAAAAUACUUAGUGUGCCAGAAACCAAAACGCAGCACAUGAUUAAAAGGACACGUGUCGGACUGUCAUACUCCUAUUUGAUGAUGUGUCUUAAUAAGAAGAGAGUGAAUCUCUUCUUUAUAUAUAAAGAUAACUGGUUCGUUAUCUCUUGAUAUUCUUUUGUCUGGUUUUUAAAGGAGGUUGAUGAUUUGAUUGUUAAAUCAAAGACUAGCUGGCUUUCUGCUGAGGAGAUUU
This 692-nucleotide long non-coding RNA is filed under the name Brassica napus (rape). RNAcentral describes it as "long non-coding RNA (BNAP_LNC017804)". Lineage: Eukaryota; Viridiplantae; Streptophyta; Magnoliopsida; Brassicales; Brassicaceae. The record is from RNAcentral.